Molecule: long non-coding RNA, 1083 nt
Organism: Helianthus annuus (common sunflower)
Lineage: Eukaryota; Viridiplantae; Streptophyta; Magnoliopsida; Asterales; Asteraceae
Exons: 4
Source: RefSeq, a predicted model, not a curated record
GAAAAUAACAUAAGUUAACCUAACUAAAUUAAACAUCAGGGACCGAAUGUGCAAAUUCUGAAAUUAUUGAUUCAGUUAAAACAAAAUAAAUAGGACGUGCACAACCCUAGCCGCAUACUUUCACUAAUCAGUAAUCUUUCCCUCCUGCCCUUUUGGUCUUCUCUACUAAACAAGAACCCACACAUCAGACUUCAUCUUUUCCCUCUCAAAUCUCUUUGCCUACAACUUUAUCUUCAAGGAAAUCAACAUUUACCUUCUCUAACUUACACCUGCAAAUAAAAGCAUCAGGCCUCUCACCUCACAACACACUCACACCUACCCCUUCCGUCCCUCUCGGUUCGUAAUCCGACAACCACACCCCAAACCCCCUUUGUUAAUCUGUCACAUAUCAGCGAGGGUAGCGCCGGCAGCGGCUAAACAGACAAAGAUGGAACCGACGACUACAAUAGCGAUGGCUGUGGUUUCGGGGCUCGAGACGGCGGUGACAGAGGCGGUUCAAGUGAGCGACAGAGAGAGAUGUGGAUGAGAGAGGGAAUGACUGCAACUGUGGUGGUGCUCGACAGAACCGUCAGCGACGGUGCCGCCGUGACGGCGGCUGUGGUGCUUCGACUCCGGCGAGACAUCUGUUUGAUCUCGGCUCAGAUUCUCGUGUUCGGUUCACACGGAUUCGGGUUCGGUUCAAGAGGCGUGUCGGGGCAGAUUGCAGCUCGGGUUACGACUUGAUGUUCGGGCUUCGGUUCGGUCGAACCCGGUCAACUGUCGGGUCAAAGCCGGUCAGCACCGAUCGAAUAGUCAACACGGGUCAAAUCCGGUCAACUGACGGGUCGACGAUUCCUUCGAGACUUGGGUGACAUCGGUGUUCCAUCAUCCUAACCUCACACUCGUCGACACUUGGAUAAUCGGAAGACUUAGCAAUUUUGUUAAUUGAUGAAGUAUGGACAAAUGAUGAAACGAGAUUUAGGGUGGACUAGAUACACACCUUGUUUAAUCUAUCUUAUAUUGUUAUGUUUUGUCACGAAACAAUGUUGUUAUCUUUAUUUGAAUUUUGUAUGACUUUAGUAUUGGAAAUGAAAUUUGAAUUUA